RNAcentral lists this ribosomal RNA (492 nucleotides) under uncultured bacterium. Its description in RNAcentral is "partial 16S ribosomal RNA". It matches the Rfam family "Bacterial small subunit ribosomal RNA", at positions 29 to 507 of the family's 1533-position model. The record is from RNAcentral.
AGUGAACGCUGGCGGUAGGCCUAACACAUGCAAGUCGAACGGCAGCACAGUAAGAGCUUGCUCUUACGGGUGGCGAGUGGCGGACGGGUGAGGAAUACAUCGGAAUCUACUUUUUCGUGGGGGAUAACGUAGGGAAACUUACGCUAAUACCGCAUACGACCUACGGGUGAAAGCAGGGGAUCUUCGGACCUUGCGCGAUUGAAUGAGCCGAUGUCGGAUUAGCUAGUUGGCGGGGUAAAGGCCCACCAAGGCGACGAUCCGUAGCUGGUCUGAGAGGAUGGUUAGGCACACUGGAACUGAGACACGGUCCAGACUCCUACGGGAGGCAGCAGUGGGGAAUAUUGGACAAUGGGCGCAAGCCUGAUCCAGCCAUACCGCGUGGGUGAAGAAGGCCUUCGGGUUGUAAAGCCCUUUUGUUGGGAAAGAAAAGCAGCAGGUUAAUACCCCGCUGUUCUGACGGUACCCAAAGAAUAAGCACCGGCUAACUUCGUG